This 1644-nucleotide unclassified non-coding RNA is filed under the name Hevea brasiliensis (rubber tree). The record is from RNAcentral. Lineage: Eukaryota; Viridiplantae; Streptophyta; Magnoliopsida; Malpighiales; Euphorbiaceae.
CUUUAUCAAAGUCACAGCAGUUGUUCCGCUGCAGAAACAAUCAAUUGUUGGAUGCAAUUUUAGAUCCUUAUCCAUCAACUUAAAUGCCUUCAGCAUAGACUUUUUAAGCGGUAGAUACAUCUCCGGGAGUUUUUCAUUUUGCUCAAACUCCAAAGAAUUAUGUGACUCAUCAUCCAUGCUUGCUGCAGAUGCAGUUUCCUCAGAAUUUGUGCUUCCAGGAGUGUUUCUAGCCUUAUGAGGGCUGCUCUGCUCAUCAUUUGAACCAUCUUUCCACUGAGUACACAGCAUCAGCGGAAGGGAAUCCCGAACUUUCUUGGAAACCAUAUGACCAAAAGGACCAUGACCAUCAAAUACCCCACAAAAAAUUGUAUCACUUCUUGAGAUGAAAUUCUAUUUCAGAAACAGUUAAAUACAGUCAUCACAUAUCAAUGCCACAGAAAAAUGACAAACAAUAAUUGAUGAUAGUUACAAAAUUUUCAUGCUGAGAAUUGAUGUGAGCAAUGAUUUGGAAAGUGCAAUAAUAUAAAUGCCAUUUUUGCUGUAAAAGUUGGAAACUCAAACAAGGUGCGUCAAGAUGAAAUUUCAGAGAAUAAAUAGAUAACUCAUCACAAGACAAAAUGAGAGCCCCCCCCCACUAGAAAAUAUGAUUAGUAUCUUCAAUUCUAACAAAUUCUCUCAGAUUAACCAUCACCAAAUCUAGCUUUCAAACAUCAAGACUGAUCGAUCCCGUGCAUAGCUCAUACAUGUGCUGUUUACAGGCAUCCUAUUUUUAGCGGUUAGCAUUACUAAUGAAGGCAAUGUAAUAUAUUUUCCAAGAAUGAAUUAGGUAACUAAAGCACCUCUCAUUACUUGAGCAAAAAGAAUGCUAUCCCAAGCUUUGACUAUUUUUAUCCAGGCUUUUUCCUCUACUUGUCUUCUCUUUUCUCCUCUUCCUUUUUCUCACUUUCUUUUGUUUUAUUCACUGCAAAGUGUAAUCCGAAAUCAUGAACUCUGCAUUUUCACACAUUCAAUUUAUAAACAGUGUUUUCAUUAGCCACAAGCACCGCUGUGGAAACUGGGUACAUCUUGAACUAAAAAUAAGUUCCAAAUAUAUGUGGUUCCUUAUAAAAAGAAGAAUGGAGCAGUAAAGACCCUUCUCCUGCAAAAGCAUUGUUUUGUUCUCUCCAGUCAUCCAUGAAUAUUUAUGUGCUAAUCCAGAACAUAGACAUCAUGAUAUGACACCAAAACUUUUUUAUUGGACCAUAUUGUGGUCACCUUCCUUGUAUCAGAUUUCACCUAACACUAAUGCCAAACACUUGACUGUGAGAUGUGACUGCGAACGUUCAAAUUGCACGACAUAUGCCAUGAUUCACAAAUACACCGCCAGCUCAUCAUCUCAAGCUUGCAAAGGAGUCUAGACAGACAGAUACCCGAGUUGCCAUAUCAGCCUAAUUACUUGGGAUUAGCUACAGAAUAUCUGCUUCUAAACAUACUUGAUUUAAAAGCUACAAAUCGAAUUCUUAGCCAAUACAAUACAAUCUCUCAAAUUGGGCAUAAUUCAUAUAGAGCAUGACUAACUAGUAAGUCAAUAUAGAUGAUAAAUUGAGCCUAAAAUAAAGUAAUGAAGAUUGAGGAUAAAGAUAAAAGGGCUUUAACUAACCUCCC